GACGAACGCUGGCGGCGUGCCUAAUACAUGCAAGUCGAACGCACAGUUUAUACCGUAGCUUGCUACACCAUAGACUGUGAGUUGCGAACGGGUGAGUAACGCGUAGGUAACCUGCCUGGUAGCGGGGGAUAACUAUUGGAAACGAUAGCUAAUACCGCAUAAUAUUGAUUAUUGCAUGAUAAUUAAUUGAAAGGUGCAAUUGCACCACUACCAGAUGGCCCUGCGUUGUAUUAGCUAGUAGGUGAGGUAACGGCUCACCUAGGCGACGAUACAUAGCCGACCUGAGAGGGUGAUCGGCCACACUGGGAAUGAGACACGGCCCAGAAUCCUACGGGAGGCAGCAGUAGGGAAUCUUCGGCAAUGGACGAAAGUCUGACCGAGCAACGCCGCGGGAGGGAAGAAGGUUUUCGGAUCGGAAAGCUCUGUUGUAAGAGAAGAACGGGUGUGAGAGUGGAAAGUUCACACUGUGACGGUAUCUUACCAGAAAGGGACGGCUAACUACGUG
Molecule: ribosomal RNA, 505 nt
Filed under: uncultured bacterium
Lineage: Bacteria
Description: partial 16S ribosomal RNA
Rfam family: Bacterial small subunit ribosomal RNA
Source: RNAcentral